AAAAAGGGUCUGACGACUGCCCAAACCACACCGUGAACCAUUUUUCUUAUUGAUGCUCUGGCAGGCCGCCCGCUGGGGGGGCUCAGGCCGCGGUUUCGCGGUGGUCUGCCGGUGGCUCGCAAACCAAAACUCUUUUGAACGUCUCUCUGAGAACAUCUAACUCCUCUUAGCGGGAGAAAAAAAAAGUCA
RNAcentral lists this unclassified non-coding RNA (189 nucleotides) under soil metagenome. RNAcentral describes it as "partial internal transcribed spacer 1". The record is from RNAcentral.